This 402-nucleotide ribosomal RNA is filed under the name uncultured bacterium. Its description in RNAcentral is "bacterial SSU rRNA". It matches the Rfam family "Bacterial small subunit ribosomal RNA", at positions 355 to 774 of the family's 1533-position model. The record is from RNAcentral.
UGGGGAAUAUUGGACAAUGGGCGCAAGCCUGAUCCAGCCAUGCCGCGUGAGUGAUGAAGGCCCUAGGGUUGUAAAGCUCUUUCACCGGUGAAGAUAAUGACGGUAACCGGAGAAGAAGCCCCGGCUAACUUCGUGCCAGCAGCCGCGGUAAUACGAAGGGGGCUAGCGUUGUUCGGAAUUACUGGGCGUAAAGCGCACGUAGGCGGGUAUUUAAGUCAGGGGUGAAAUCCCGGAGCUCAACUCCGGAACUGCCUUUGAUACUGGGUACCUAGAGUAUGGAAGAGGUGAGUGGAAUUCCGAGUGUAGAGGUGAAAUUCGUAGAUAUUCGGAGGAACACCAGUGGCGAAGGCGGCUCACUGGUCCAUUACUGACGCUGAGGUGCGAAAGCGUGGGGAGCAAACA